UACGAAGGAUGCAAGCGUUAUCCGGAUUUAUUGGGUUUAAAGGGCGCGUAGGCGGUCUUAUAAGUCAGUGGUGAAAUCUCGUUGCUUAACAACGACCGUGCCAUUGAUACUGUAGGACUUGAGUACAGUUGCCGUUGGCGGAAUGUGUCAUGUAGCGGUGAAAUGCAUAGAUAUGACACAGAACACCGAUUGCGAAGGCAGCUGACGAAACUGUAACUGACGCUGAGGCUCGAAAGCGUGGGGAUCAAACAGG
Molecule: ribosomal RNA, 253 nt
Filed under: uncultured bacterium
Lineage: Bacteria
Description: partial 16S ribosomal RNA
Rfam family: Bacterial small subunit ribosomal RNA
Source: RNAcentral